AACGAACGCUGGCGGCAUGCCUAACACAUGCAAGUCGAACGAGACCUUCGGGUCUAGUGGCGCACGGGUGCGUAACGCGUGGGAACCUGCCCUUAGGUUCGGAAUAACUCCCCGAAAGGGGUGCUAAUACCGGAUAAUGUCUUCGGGCCAAAGAUUUAUCGCCUUUGGAUGGGCCCGCGUUGGAUUAGCUAGUUGGUAGGGUAAAAGCCUACCAAGGCGACGAUCCAUAGCUGGUCUGAGAGGAUGAUCAGCCACACUGGGACUGAGACACGGCCCAGACUCCUACGGGAGGCAGCAGUGGGGAAUAUUGGACAAUGGGCGAAAGCCUGAUCCAGCAAUGCCGCGUGAGUGAUGAAGGCCUUAGGGUUGUAAAGCUCUUUUACCCGGGAUGAUAAUGACAGUACCGGGAGAAUAAGCGCCGGCUAACUCCGUG
RNAcentral lists this ribosomal RNA (433 nucleotides) under uncultured bacterium. Its description in RNAcentral is "partial 16S ribosomal RNA". It matches the Rfam family "Bacterial small subunit ribosomal RNA", at positions 29 to 507 of the family's 1533-position model. The record is from RNAcentral.